Molecule: long non-coding RNA, 2658 nt
Filed under: Homo sapiens (human)
Lineage: Eukaryota; Metazoa; Chordata; Mammalia; Primates; Hominidae
Description: HSALNT0141304
Source: RNAcentral
CCACUGGGCAUAUUACUUACUUUCAUGAAGGCCCUGAUACUUAAGAUGGUCUUCAAUUAUUUAAAGGCUGAAAGAACUCUAGGUGAAGACUAUUAUUCUCCACAUUAUACAACUGAGGAAACUGAAGCACUAAGAAAGUAAGUUACCUGGGUAAUAAAUGGAAGACCUGGGAGGUCAGCCCAGAUCUGCCUGAUUCUACAGCCCAGUCUCUACACCAUGAUGAUAUUUGUCAAAAUGGAACUCAACCCUUCAACUGAAGCAUGCAUAAUGUGUGCAGGUGGUGGUGGUGGUGGUGGUGAGGACACUGUUUUUAUAGUAGCCUCUAACAUGCAUGAGGGGGCAGGCAGACUGCUUGUCUUAUUCACCAUGGAUCCUCAUCACUUAGCACAAGGGCUUGGCACAAAGUAGGAGAUCAACAAAUGUGUGCUGAGGAGAGGGAGGAAGAAAGCAAGAAACGAAGAAAGGAAGGCAGGCAAGCUCUCCAAAGGAAAACAGUGUUUGAUAAAAAUCAGUGUUGGGUAAAAAGCAGAUAGCAAUACAUAACUGUCUGAAGCUCAAUUCCUGGAUCUGAAUGCUAUGGCCCUUUAAGAAACAAGGAAGCAGUUUUUCAGUAGUUCAGAGUAAUGAACAAGAUGGGGAGCAAACUAUUAAUCAAAUGGUAGACUACUCAGAUCAAUCAGAUCAGCCCACAUACAAACAGGCAAGAAAUGCUCAGAGAGCCAAACCCCAGAGAAGCAGAAGGCAGAUUUUCAUUCCAGAAGAUUCCAAGAGUGGGGCUGGGCAGAUGACCACUGGCAGGGGGACACUGGGAGCAACCCCAAAGACUAGUAAGUAAUCAGGAGGGCAUCUUUCAGGUAGCAGGCAUUCUGGAGAAAUUUCUUUUUGCUAAAACCUAACAAGGCUCAUAAGGCCAGCCCUCAAAGUAUGGCGAAGAAUGCAUUCUACACCAAGAAUGACUUAUCAUUCAUUACACUGUUCAUUGCAUGUCUACCACACUGGAUGCUGGGGACAGAGUAAUGAACAAAGACAACGUUCCUACUCUUAGGCAGCUUACAACAAAUCGGCAAAUAUGCAUGAGAAAUAUCAGGAAAUAAGUGCUAUGCAGAGAAUAAAAAUAGAGUCCUAUAGCACUCUUGGAGCUUACAGCAAAUCAACAAGUAACCAUGAGAAAUCUCAGGAUGGGAAGAGGCAUCUGCAGAGAAACCAUGCUACUCACUUUAAAAUAACACAGAAGAAAAACAAGAAGUCAUUCUGAGUUUUCUCAGUAAAGCCAAAAGCUACAAUCUCUUCUUCUUCCUGGAAUUUAUAGACAUAGUUUUCCUUUCAGAAUGCUGAAAGAAGUGUGAUUGAGUUAGACUGUAACAGCUCAAAUCAUUAUAAAACAGAGCAAGAGCAACAAAUAGAAAAAAGUGAAGAAAUCCCUAUCGACAGUGUUAAGGAUGGAUUCUGCAAGCCUCGGUCAUUCUGGCAACUAACCGACUUUCCCAGCCAGUCUAGAUGCCCCAGAGACCCUGUUAGCUUCAAGGAAAGGUGAAAAUCAGAAACUCAGCCAGGAUAGUCCUUGUGUUACAUCAGGGCCUGAGGGGCCUCAUGAGCUCACUCACAGGAGGAUAGGGUGGUGGUGGUCCUGUGAAGGCUUGGCAGCUCUGAGGGGCAAAAACACAGUGCUGAGCCAAGGCCAAAAUGGGGGUGGGGGCAGGGGGCACUGGUUGAUUCCACAUCAGCCUUGGCAUCCCUGGAAGCCAUGUACAGUGGCCAGGACAACAAAAGUAGUGCCUACAGCACUCAGACAAUGGCCUUGCUCUCUCACCAAAGGGGAAAAUAUACAACCCCAAAACCCCACUCCCCAUCUUCUCCCUGCCCACUCAACAAGGAAAAGUGGAGGUGGGGCGCACAUUAGAUGCUGUGUCACAGUUAUGCCAUGUCUUCUGGCACAGGCGGCGUUUUACUGAAGGGGGAGGCAUGCACAGUGCAAACCUUUUUUAGCCCCCAAAGAAGAACUAUGUCACAGUUAAGCAAGGAGGCCGGAUUUAUUCUGUGGGCACUGCAGAGGGGCUGCAGGUUUUUAAAAGGGCUAGGAUCAGACCCACGCUUCGCAAGAGAAAGACUAUUGGCGAAGGGUCUCAGGAUACAUAGAGAAAACUGAACAAGAAGGCAAAGUAUCUGGAAACAGUGAAAAAUGAGGAAUAGCCAAAAGGACUGGGGAAGAAAAGAAAACUUAGGGGACACAAAAUAAUCCUUUUCACGUAUUUCAAGGGCUCAUCUUUGGAAGACGGUUUUACAUUUCUCUACAAGGAAAGAAUUCAAAUAGAAGCUCAAGGGGGCAGGGAUAGAUUUCACCUGAAGACUAAACAAAAGUACUUUCUGAUGACUAAUGCUGUGCAAAAAUAGAGCAGGUUACCCAUGAAAGCAGUGAGUCACUGGCGGUAUUCAUGUACCAUCCAGAUUGCAUAGCCAUGAAGAUCCCAGGCCAUUUUAAGCCCUAUUAUUUAUUGCUUUUCUUCUGUCAUCCCUAAGGCCCUUCUAAGUCUAUCCAAGUCCUACUCCUCCUUAAAAACCCAAUUCAAGUUCCAUCUCCAACUUGCUGCAUGCUUUUCCACAACCAUCUCUCUCUUUUCCAAAUAAAGCACUUAUUACCAGUACCAAUUAUCUGGAAGA